This 29280-nucleotide long non-coding RNA is filed under the name Vitis vinifera (wine grape). RNAcentral describes it as "long non-coding RNA (VVIN_LNC002073)". Lineage: Eukaryota; Viridiplantae; Streptophyta; Magnoliopsida; Vitales; Vitaceae. The record is from RNAcentral.
AGAUGGUUGGCCAGGUCUUUGUGAUACUAGUUUUGCUUUGUUUUCCCAGAGUGCAAUGAGGUCUGAACUCUAAAUAUUUGGAAUUGGAUUUCCCAUGUUUUUUCUGACUGCAACGAGCUCUAAACAUAGAUUGUUUGGAAUCGUAAAGGUUUGGGGAAUUGGGGAGAAAGCUGCUAGAGGAGCACAAAGCAGCGAGGCUUUGCAUGUUUCCCCUUACAUUUGGAAGUUCAGACUAAUGUCAUGUUCUUGGGAAUAAUUUGGGUUGAAGACUCUGUUGCUUCAGUUCAAUCAAUAGAUGGUGAAGUUGUACGUAUAUGGAAAAAGACCCAUCAAUCCUGAACCACAGAAGUGGAUAAGAAUGAGUGGCUGUGGCUUUUUCCCACAGUGAUGACUGGAGAAAAAUAACAAAGUGAUGUGUCAAAAGGGCUGCUGUGGCCGGUACGUGGCCCAGUUUCUGAGUCCAGCAAGAGCUUUCAUAAGAAACAAUAAAGAUAUGCUUGUUUAUUAAUUGUUUUUAAAAAUAAAUUUUUAUUUUUAAAAACAAAAAUGUUUGACAACUUAAAACCAAAAAUAUUUUUUGAUUUUUUAAAACAUAAAAUAAAAAUAUUUUUUAAAAACAUAUUUUAGUUGUGUUGUGUUGAUUCCUUAAAAUUAUUUAAAAAAUAACGACUCAAAUAUAAGGAAUAAUAUUUAAAAAUAAAGGUCUAUAUGUAAAUUUAUUUUUAAAAGUAUUUGGAUAUAUAGAAAACAAGUUAUGAGAAUAUUACAAAUUAAAAAGAUCAAGGUUAUGUUUGGUUCUCGAAAAAUACCAAGGAAAGAAAAAAAAUACAAAGGGAAAUGAUUUUUUCAUAUUUGGUUGUCUUUUAAAAAAUGUAAAAUAAAAUAUAAUAUAUUUAAAACUAAUUAAAAACUUUUAUAUUUUUAAAUUAUUUAAUCUUUAUAUUGAUGAGUUAAAAUAAGUAAAAUGAGUUUGAAGUAACAAAAAAAAUAAUUUAUGGACUUUAAAUCUAUAUUUUAUUUUCCUUUACUUUUUCUUUUCUUCUACUUUUCUUUUAUAUUUUCUUUCUCUUGUAUUUUUUCUCAAUUUUUUUGGGAAUCAAACAUAGCAUAAAAGUAUCCUACAAUUAAGAAUUUUUCUUUUAGGCUAUGUUUGGUUCUUGAAAAAUAUUAGGGAAAGAAAAAAAAUAUUGAGGAAAAUGAUUUUCUCAUGUUUGGUUUUCUUAUAAAAAAUAAAAAAGAAAGUUAAAUAUAAUUAAAAUUAUUAAGAGAUUUGCAUAUUUUUAAAUUAUUUAAUUUUUAUAAAGAAGAGUUAAAUGAAUAAAAAAAUAUUUGAAAUGGUAUAUAAAACUAAUUUAUUUAUUUUAAAUCUAUUUUUUAUUUUUCUUCACUUUCUCUUUCUUUUUUACUUUUCCUCUUUAUGUUAUUUUUCUUAUAUUUUCCCUCAAUUUUUUCGGAAUCAAACAUAGCUUUAGAAAAGGAUUAUUUUUCUACCAAACUUGGGAAAUGAAACAUUCUUCAUCAUCCUUUGCUUGUGUAGGUGAAAAAGCCAAAAUGGUGUACUACACAAAACAAAAGUUUAUAAACAUAUGCUCCCAUUACCCAAUAGGAGAGAAGUGAAAAUCUCUUCCUUGAUGCAGUUGUAAAACUGCAUGCUAGAGAAUAAAUCAACCUGCAGGCUGCUCUAUAUAUAGAGACAACCAACCACCAUUUGUAUACUUAAAAAUCAGUAAUGAAUUCAACACAGGGACCGUUGCGUAGGGCUGGUGGGAAAGUAAUCACCAUACUUAGCAUUGAUGGAGGAGGGGUCCGAGGCAUUAUCCCUGCAGUCAUCCUAUCCGCCCUUGAGGCCCAACUUCAGGUUUUCUCUUCUUUUUAUUCUUUUCAAAAUUGUAGUGCCGCAGAUUACCAUUCGGUACUGGCAGAUGGAGUACUUGCUAAAGCCAAAAGGAUAAAUAGACAUACAUCCAUGGAUUGCCGGGAUAUGAUAUGAUAUGUGACCCACCAUCUCUUAUGUGGUAUAUCUUAUUUCUUAUCAUAUCCCAUAUUAUAUUCAACAUACCAAACAUACUAGUACUGGACAGCUUAGGUGAAUUGAUUCAUUAAACAGACAGGGUGAAUUGACAAGGAAAGAAACAAUUUCAUGACUUUGUUAUAUGUUGUUGCAAACAGAGAAUUGAUGGCCCUAACGCCAGGAUUGCGGAUUACUUUGAUGUCAUUGCUGGAACAAACACAGGAUCAAUUGUUACAGCCUUGCUUACAACCCCAUAUACCCCUCCUAAUCCUCCUUCAUAUGCAUCCAAAACAGAUCCUCCUUCACUUGCAUCCCAAACAAAUGCUCCUCCAAAUGCAUCCAAAGCAAAUCGUCCCCGCGAAGCAAAAGAGAUCCCAGGGUUCUACAAGAAGCAUGGCCCGUCAAUCUUUCGUAGGGAUAAAGCCCCUGUCCAUACCAGGUACAGUAAAACUGUGUGAAAGGAAGAGAAAAAGCAAGAAGGGAUCAGUGAGAUCUUAAUCCAAAUUUCCUUGUGGUUAACAGCAACUCAGAUGAUUGGUGGAGUGCUUUGGUAGGAUUCCUGAAGAAGCAGCUGCAGGACACAUUGGACUUUCUCCUAAGCGUCAGAUAUGAUAAUUCCAAACUUCAGCUCAAAGUGGAUGAAGAGCUGGGGAAAAUUCAGUUGGCUGACACGCUAACUAAUGUUCUUAUCCCUGCUUAUGACGUUGAACACCUUAAACUAGUCACCUUCUCUUCUCACCAGGUUAUCUCUUGUUUCAAUUUUUUACAUGAUUCUCCAUAUCAUAAGACUUCUGGGCCUAUAAUCCAUGUCGCUUUUAUGGUUGCAGGAUAAAAAUAAGGUGCCAAAGUCAUCAGUACUAUUGAGAGACGCAGUUUUGGGCUCAGCUGCAGCUCCAAUUUCUUUCCGAUGUCAUCAUUUCGAAGCUGAUGGCAAAAUUUACAACCUUGUGGAUGGUGGAAUGGGAGCCAACAAUCCUGUAAAUCAUCUUCAUACACAGGCCUUUAUGGAAUCAUAUUUUCAAGAUUUGUUGCCGUUUGUAUACACAAUUCAUUCUUCAUAUUCUUCAUACUUGAUGAAGCUGUCACUUCUGUGCAGACAUUGCUUGCAAUACGUGAAGCAAUCAAUAUAUUUGGAAACCGAGGUGAUAAUAGGUUCCUGAUCAUCUCCCUUGGUACUGGCGCUGAAGGAGAACAUCAUGACUUCGUCGAUUUAGACGGUCCAGUUCGUUGGAUAUUAGACCUUAAGAGAGGUACACCGCCAUUGGCCAGCGUGCUGUUUGAGACAUCAGCUGACAUGGUAGAUACAUACACAUCGAUUUUCCUUGGAGGUAGCCAGAAUUCUCGUCAUCGGUUUCUCCGAAUCCAGGUAAAUGCACUUCAAUAUAGGUAUAAUUAGAGAUUAUUGCUGACCAAUCCAAACCAGCUCCCAUGUACAUCACUAAAGAACAGAAAAAUUGAACCAGGACUAUACAUUGAAGCCUGAGCAGCUCACAAUGGAUAAUGCAACUGAUGAAAAUUUCAAGAACCUGACUAAUAUCGCUAAUAGACUUCUAGACAAGCCUGUUUCUUUCCCUAGCUCGUGGUUUGGUCUAGAGCCAACGACUACCAACAGAGGCGCUCUCGGGAGGUAAGAGCUAACAGGAAAUUAAUGUGAUUUACAAUUGGAUGCUUAGAUUCAUUAUUCACUUUGCUCCCGUCCUCAUAUCAUCACCCAUUUUUACGGGAUGCUGGUUGUCAUUCCUCCCUUGCAGAUUUGCUAGAGACCUGUCCAGGAUAAGGGUUGAUUCUGCUAAAAGACUGUCAAGAAGAUAAGUGGUGAUUCUACUAAAAAACUGUCUGAUGAUAAGAAGACAAGUGGUAGUUCUUCGUCCUAUGGCACUGGCUUCUUAAUGUAUUCAAUCAUUCCUCUUCUGUUUCUCCUUUUUUCUUACAAGCUAUAUGUUAUGUUUCACCAUUAGAUGGAGGAAAAAAACUCUUUGAAUUUGAUGUCUAGGGAUAUAGUUGUUGGUAGUCCCUGUGAAAAAUAAUGGAUGUACAAUCCACAUCUUAAGAAAUAAAGCUCUUUCAGAUGAGCUAUUCCUCACAGCAGCACUGCAAGACAUCAUGUAAGUAUAAAAGAUGUAUUAUGACAUGGGGCCACAUGACCAUUAAAUAAAUGAAUCUAAUUAAGGUUGUUGCAGUUGCUUUGUUCAUAUGGUCUACAUAUAAAAUGUUAUUCAUGAUAGGUGAUGCUUUUAAAUUAAAAGUCUAUUUGACAGUGAUUAUAAGAAGUGUUUCUAUCCUUUUUAAUAUUUGGAAAAUAAAAAAUUAUAAGUAUUAGAAAAAUUAAAAUCGUUUUUUAGAAUCACUAUCAAAUGGGCUCUAAGAGUCUGUUUGAUAGUGCUUUUAAAAAACACUUCUAUAAUAAGAAACGAUUUUAAAAAAGGAAUCAAGUGUGUGGUAAAAUUUAAAAAAUUUGAACUGUUAAAUGCACUCUAAUUCACAUAAGCACAGGAUGAUGUGCAGCUCCAAUGCUUGGGAAGUGCGGAAUCUAUUUUUAUGGGAUGAUCCAAACCCCUGCUACCUUACGAAAAGGACUCGAAAAAUACCAAAAUGGUGUACUCAAAACAAAAGUUAACAUGUGCUCCCACAUUGAGGAAAGUGAUUCCCCUCAGGAGUGAGGUGUGAAAAACAUGUAUACAAAAGGUAGAAUCAAGGCUAGAGAGAAGAACCAUACUGCGUUGGCCAAACGCCACCAUAUCUCUUCCUUGCUACAGUUUAGUUUAACUGCCAAAAAACAAAUCAACCUCCACACUGCUCUAAAUAUGAAGACAACAAACCAACCUCCUUCUCCACUUCCACAUAAUGGCUUCACCACAGGGAGCAAGGCCUAGGACAAAUGGGAAACUAACUACCAUACUUAGCAUUGAUGGAGGAAGGAUCCGAGGCAUUGUGCCUGCAGUCAUCCUGAAGGGUCUGAGGCCCAACUUCAGGUUUUCUCUCGCCAUAGCAUUUUCCUUUUCACAUUGAGAGUAAUGCUAAUUUUUUUCCCCUACCAUUUGGAAAGAAAAUUUAAAUGGCAUGCCAAAAUUGUAGUUCAGCAAUUACCAUCAUAUACUGGCAGAUAGACUAUUUUUUAAAGCCUAAAGGGUAUAUACACAUGCAUGUAUAGGUCAAUACUCAGUCCCUAUGGUUUGAUUGGCGGGAUAUCUCAACACCCCAUGUCUUAUCUCUGAUCUUUCAUCGCAUCUCAUAUUAUAUGUAACAUUGAAAAAAGACUAGUAAUGGUGCAUAUCUUGGAGAGUAGAGGUGAAUUGAUAAGGGAGAAAACAAUUUUGUGACUUUUGUUAUAUGUUGUUGCGAACACAGAGGCUUGAUGGCCCUGAUGCCAGGAUUGCAAAUUAAUUUGAUCUCAUUGCGGGCACAAGCACAGGGUCAAUUGUUACAGCCUUGCUUACAACCCCAUAUCCACUUCCUAAUGAUUCAAAUGGAUCCAGAACAAAUUGUCCCCGCCAAGCAAAAGAUAUCCAAAAAUUCUACAAUGAGCAUGGCAUGGAAAUAUUUGCUAAGAAAGAAGACCCUGUUGAAACAAGGUACACUGAAACUGUGUGAAAGGGAGAGAAAAAGCAAGAAGAGCGUAAGAUCUUAAUCCAAAUUAAUUUCCUUGUGGUUAACAGCAAAUCAGAUAGCUUGCUCACUCGGUUGACAGAAUUGAUAGUUUCCGGGGCGGAGACGGUGUUGAACUUUCUCCUAAACCACAGAUAUGGUCCUUCCCAUCUUAGUGAGAAAGUGAAUGAACAGCUGGGGGAAAUUUGAUUGGCUGACCCACUAACUAAUGUUCUUGUUCCUGCUUUUGAUAUUCAACACCUUAAACUAAUCACCUUCUCUUCUCACCAGGUCGUCAAUUUUUUACAUGAUCAAACAUUAGUAUUCAUUCUUUUCAUAUUUGUAUUUUCCAUAGCAUAAGACUCCGAGCCUAUAAUGUUGGUUUUAAAAUCCACCCUUGUGUAGACAUAAUGUCCUGGUCAUAUUCCAUAGGAUUGCAAGGCCACACCAAUAGAUACAGGGUUGGGGAUCAACAAUCAUGUAGAUAUUGUUCUUUUUAGGCCAAAUGGUCUCAUGAUUUCAAAACACAUCUACAUGAUUAAGAGGAGCUCUGUAGGUUUUGAUAGAAACAGAGUGUGGAAACUCUUUGGAAGCAAUAGAACGUUGAGGAAUCUGAAGUUGUCAAUUUUAUUAAGCUUCAAAGCACUUAUUUAUACAGCUAGCUUAAAACAGAAAAAUAUAAAAAUAGCAACAAACUUGCUACCUAUAGAUAAUUCCUAAAGAAUAGAAACAACCAACAAACUUCCUAAGGAAUAGGUAAAUCUUUCACAUGACUAACUUAUUUGACUACUUCCACUUCAAUCUACUCAGCUCCAUGUCAACAGCUCCUAUGACAUGUCAUUCAACACUCCUCCUUGUCUUUGGAGCUGCAAACUCCAAGCCUUUGCCUUAAGAACUCAUAUCUAGCUUUGGGAAGUGGUUUGGUUAAGAUAUCAGCAUUCUGACUUUCUGUUUUGUAGUAGACCAACUGAAUUUCUCCCUCCUUCUGUACCUCUCUUAGGAAAUAGAGUUUCAGCUUGAAAUGUUUUGUUUUUCCAUGGAACACCGGAUUAUUUGCAAUUGAAAUUGCAGCUUGGUUGUCUACGAGUAUUUGUGUGCUUUCCUUUUGCUCCAUAAACAAGUCAGCCAUUAAUUUUCUAAUCCAGAGAGCCUGAUUCACAGCAGCGGCAGCAACUACAUAUUUUGCUUCUGCUGUAGAUUGAGCUAUGACUUCUUGCUUUUUGGAACACCAUGAAAAAAUAGCAGAACCAAAGCUGAAACAAUAACCUGAAGUACUUCUCAUGUCAUCAACACAACCUGCCAAUCACUAUCUAAAUAACCAUGGAGAGUAAAGUUUUUAACUUGACAAAACCUCAAACCAUAGUCAAUUGUACCCUUGACAUAUCUAACAAUUCUUUUUGCUGCUUGAAAGUGAAUUUCACUAGCACAAUGCAUGUACCUUGAGAGUAAACUUACAACAUUCAUAAUAUCUGGUCUAGUUGCUGUUAGGUACAUCAAGCACCCAAUAAUGGUCCUGUAAAGCCUUUCAUCAGCUUUUGCAGCUCCAUCUUUUUUGCAAAACUUCUCAUUUUGAUUCAUUGGAGUUGCACUUGGAUUGCACUCUUCCAUCUUGAACUUUUUCAGGAUUUCCUUGGCAUAUUUUUGUUGACAUAUGAAGAUCUCAUUUUGCUUUUGUUGUACUUCCAUGCCAAGAAAGAAUGUCAUCCUCCCAAGAUCAGUCAUCUCAAAAACAUCCUUCAUUUCCUUUUUGAAAUUGUCAAUUUGCUUCAUACUACUUCCUGUCACAAGUAGAUCAUCAACGUAUAAAGAUACCACAAGUGUUUCAUCACAAACCUUCCUGAAGUAUAGAGUAAAUUCACUUAGGCUUUUUGUAAAGCCUAAGCCUAACAAAUGUGAAUCAAUCCUACUGUACCAUGCCCUUGGUGCCUGUUUUAAACCAUACAAGGCCUUUUUCAGCAAAUAUACUUUCUUCUCCAUUCCUUUAACAAUAAAACCUUCAGGCUGCUCCACAAAAAUUUCUUCCUCCAAGUAUCCACUCAAGAAGGCUGAUUUGACAUCCAUCUGAUGUAUAUUCCAACCUUUUUGAGCAGCAAGAGCCAGCAACAUUCUUAUAGUGUCCAAUCUAGCAACUGGGGCAAAAGUCUCAGAGAAAUCCACCCCAAACAUUUGAGCAUAUCCUUUGACAACCAGUCUUGCCUUGUGUUUGUUUAUAGAACCAUCAGAAUUGAGUUUGGUUCUAUAAACCCACUUGACUCCAAUUGCCCUUUUGUGUCUUGGUUUGUCCAUUAGCUCCCAAGUUUGGUUUUUUUCAAUCAUUUUAAGCUCCUCCUUCAUUGCAUCCAUCCAUUUUUUAUCAACUGCAGCUUCUUCAUACCUUGCAGGCUCUAUUAUAGCAAUAUUGCACCUCUGAUAGAUGUCAGAGAGUGAUCUGGUUCCCCUGACAGGUUUAUCAUUAAUAUUGGCAUUCUCCUCCUGAAACUCAAGCUUUUUAUCAUUCUCCCAACUCCAACUUUCUGAUUCGAAGAAUUUGAGAUCUCUGCUAACUAUGACUUUGUUGUUUUCUAGAAGAUAGAUUCUAUAGGCCUUUGAUAUUGAGCUAUAGCCUAUAAAGAUCCCAACUUCUGCUUUCUUAUCCAAUUUGUCUCUCUUAACAUGUGGAAUAUAAGAGAAACAAAGACAACCAAAUGUUUUUAAAUUUUGCAGCCUUGGUUUAUAGCCAUACCAUGCUUCAAAUGGAGUCUUUUGUUGCAAAGCUUUUGUUGGCAGUCUAUUUAGCAGAAAGACUGAUGUAUGUGCAGUCUCAGCCCAGAAUUUCUUUGGCAGCCCUUUCUCAUGCAGCAAACACCUUGUCAUUUCCAUCAUAUUCCUUCUUCAAGAAGUUCCAUAUUUCAUUUGCUGUCUUCAGUGUCAUUAUUCUGGUGAAAAUUGUGGAUGAGACAGCUGCAAAUAAACUAGCUUUUGCCUUUGAUUUCCUUUGCCUCCUCUCAUUGUGUAAUUUUAUCUGAGCCAUAGUUGGAUUGUCGGACAGAGGAGGAACUUCAUAUUCCUCACUAACAGCUUCCCACAGAUCACUAGCAUCAAGGUAGGCUUCCAUACGGACAACCCACACUUGAUAAUUUAUUCCAUCAAACACUGGAGGGGCUAGUGCAUUCAGUGAAGCUUCUGAGGUCAUUUUGGAUAUUGUUUGUAGGUUUUUUAGGCUCACUCACCUCACAAGUUACUCAAGAACCUAGCUCUGAUACCAGAUUUGUAGGUUUUGAUAGAAACAGAGUGUGGAAACUCUUUGGAAGCAAUAGAACAUUGAGGAAUCUGAAGUUGUCAAUUUUAUUAAGCUUCAAAGCACUUAUUUAUACAGCUAGCUUAAAACAGAAAAAUAUAAAAAUAGCAACAAACUUGCUACCUAUAGAUAAUUCCUAAAGAAUAGAAACAACCAACAAACUUCCUAAGGAAUAGGUAAAUCUUCCACAUGACUAACUUAUUUGACUACUUCCACUUCAAUCUACUCAGCUCCAUGUCAACAGCUCCUAUGACAUGUCAUUCAACAAGCUCAUAUAUAGAUACAGCGUUGAGAACUUUUGUCAUUUCUGUUGUGGGAGGAUAUCACAUAUGAUGCAGGUUGCAUUUAUGGUUGCAGGUAAGAAAGGCAAACUCAUCAACAAAAUUGAGAGAUGUAGUUAUGAGCUCAGCUGCAGCUCCAGUUUAUUUCCCAUCGCGUAAUUUCAAAGCUGAUGGCAGACUGCACAACCUUGUGGAUGGUGAACUUGCAGCCAACAAUCCUGUAAAUGUUCUUCAUACACAGGCCUUUAUGGGACCAUAUUUUAAAGAUUUGUUGCCAUUUGUAUACACAAUUCAUUCAUCUUUCUUUGUGAAGCUAUCCCUUACUGCGCAGACAUUGCUUGCAAUAAAAGAAGCAGCCCACAUAUUUGGAAACCGAGAUUAUAAUAACUAUCUGAUUGUCUCCCUUGGUUCUUGCUCUGAAGAAGAACAUCACAACUUCAUUGAUUUAAAGGGUCCACUUCCUUGGAUAAUAGACCUGAAGAGAGGAACACCACCCUUGGCCAACGUGCUGUUUAAGACAUCAGCUGACAUGGUAGAUGCAUACACAUUAUUUGUCCUUGGACUUGGAGUUGGAGGCCGGAUUUCUAGUCAGAACUUUCUCCGGAUCCAGGUAAUUAAAUGCACUUAUAUGAAAUAGAUUAGCAAUCCAAACAAGCUCCCAUUGAAACUGAUCAGAGAUCAAGAUAUAGGAGUGAAUUGUAUCAGAUUGAUCUCAAUUUUUACAUUACUAAGGAAAAGAAAAUUUGAACCAGGACAAUACAUUGAAGCCUGAGCAGCUCAAAAUGGAUGAUGCAAUAAAGAUAACUUUGAUACCCUGAUUGAUAUCGCUCAAAGACUUCUAGAGAAGCCUUUUCAUUCCCUAGCUUGGUGAUUAAUUGGUCAACAAUUACCAAUGACUACCAACCGGGAUGCUCUCAUGAGAUAAUGAGCUAACAGGAAAGGUGAUUUAUUGCAAAAAGCAUUUGUAGCCUUUCUAACAUUUGAAAACAAUUCUUUUGAUAAAAAUUUCAAGAGUCAAAAAUAUUAAAAGUGUUUCCGGUAGGGUUAUUUGAUUAAAAAGUAAUUGAAAACUCAAUUUUCAAAAUUUAACCCUUCAUCCUUUUUUGACCUCAUUUUAACAAAAAUAUUCAUAUUGUUUUCUUGUAAGAAACAUUUAUAUAAAAAAUAAGUUACUCUUCAAACAAAAGUAUAAGAGGGGAUAAAUUUACAAAUAUGGGAUUAUGUCAUCCCUUUUAACCAAUUAUUUCUUUCUUAUAAUCACCAUCAAAUUGAUUUUUACAAUUAGUUUACGAGUCAUGGUUCACUUUGCUGCAUCUUCAUCUCAUCACCAUUUUUACUACAUAUUGGUUGUGAUUUCUCUCUUGCAACUUUGCUACAAUACUCUCCAGUGAAAAGAAGAGGAGGGUAGUUCUUCGUCCUAUGUCUUUGGCUUUUUAAUGUAUUCAACCAUUUAUUUUAUUUUUCUCCUUUUUCUUUACAAGCUUUGUAUUUUGUUUUACCAAUAAGAAGAGAAAAAAACACUUUGAAUUUGAUGUAUGGGAAUAUGGUUAUUGUUGGUCCUAUGAGAAAUAAUGGAUGUGAAUUCUAUGUCUUAAUGAAUAAUUCUCUUUCGAAUGGAGUUAUUCUUCACGGUAGUACCCUAAAUCUUGACAUCAUUUAUUCAAUAUAAAAUAUGUAUUAUAACAUGGGGGGUAAGGGUGGCAAUUCGUGACAAUGGUUGUAUUUAUGUUGUGUCAAAGAUUAUAUAUAUGCCAAAUAAGUCAUUUCAAACAUUGUACAGAUAAUAAUUACAUUAAAAAUAUAAACUCAUAUACUUCAUAAUUAUUAAACAGGUAGUAUGUCAUAUAGUUCAUGUAACUAAUUUAAUAAUCAAGUUGAUUUAAGUUUUAUAAUGUUUGUAUGGUUAAUGUUCCAACAUAUAUGUUUAUGAUUUAAUUGAUUUAUUUAUUUAAAAUAAGUAAAAUAUGAUUAAAUAUUUUAAAAUUAUAAUUAGGUUAAUCCACGUGAUUAUUAAAAUGAAGAUGAAAAUUUUAAUUUUUCCCCUCUUCCCUUGUUACCUUCCUAUUAUUUUUUCCCUCUUUGUGUGUCCUGUUAAUUAAGUUAUGAAAAAUAGUUUUUAUAAACACGUACAAAAAAUUUAUUCAUGAAACAUAGAAACCAAUAAAAAAAACUAAGACUUUAUUUGGAAAGUAUUUUUGAAAAUAAUUUUGAAAAAUAAUUUUGGAAAAUAAGACCCUCAAUUAUUGUUUAGAAAAGCUUUUUGUUUUUAAAAAUAAAAAAGUAGAAAAAUAUGUUUGACAAUCAAAGGAUAAAAAACAAUAUGUUUGUUCUUAAAAACAUAAAACAUAGUGUUUUUGGACAAUAUAUUUUAAUUAUUUUCUUAAGGGUGUUUAAAAAAUAAUUAUAUAAAUAUAGAGAAUGAUUGAAAAUAAAACAUUACAUUAAAAUCGUGCUUAAUAAAUAUUUGAAAACACAGAAAAUCAAUUAAAGACAUUCUAAGUUCUUAAAUAAAAUUUUGUUUUUGAAAGCAUUAGAGAAUUGUUUUUAAUACCGUCAACCAACUCUAACUUUUCAGACAUCCUCCAAGCUAUUAUUCAAAAUAAUAAAGAAACUUAAAGAUUUGUUUACUAAAUGUUUUCAAAAAAAAAAAAAAAAUCUUGUUGAGAAAAAACAAAAGGAAAACAUGUUUGGUAUCUAAAAAACAAAAAACAAUUUUUUUUUUUAAAAAAAGGGAAACAUGUGUUUUUUAAAACAUAUUUUAAUUGUUUUUCACUUGAUUUCCAAUAGCUGCUUACAAAAUAAUGACACGAAUACCAUGAAUAAUUUAAAAUAAAGUACUCUAUGAAAAUUUAUUUUUAAAAAAUAUUUGGAAACAUAGAAAAGAAGUUGAAAACAUUACAAGUUGCCAAAACAUUUUUGUUAUGAAAACAACAUUGGUUGUGAAAAAUUGAUGUUUUUUUUGUAAUAGUUUUCGAAAACGUUCCAACAGAUGGGGAGGUGUCUGCACUGAAUAGAUAGUGGAGAUGUUUAAUCCCCACGCAAGGGAGCAGGUGCCACUUGCCAGAAGGUUCAUCCCUCAAGUGAAGGCAGAAAAGGGAAACCAGAAGUGGGAAAUGCAGCAUCAGCAUCAUUCUUCAUUGUCCUUUGCUUGUUUAGGUGAAAAUGCCAAAAUUGGUGUUGUACUCAAUACUCCCAUUCCUCAAAUUGGAGAGAAGUGAUUCCCUCAAGUGUGGAAAAGACGUUUGGAUUCAUUUCCACAGCAUUAGGAAAUACAAAAGGUAGCUAGAAUCAAAGUCAAAGAAAAUCUCUUGCUUGCUACAGGUAUAAAACUGGAUGCCAAAGAAUAAAUCAACCUGCAGGCUGCUCUAUAUAUAGAGACAACCAGCCAACCUCCUUCCUCACUCCUGCAUACAUACUCUUUGAACCACCAUUUGCAUACUUAAAAGGAUUCCAUAACUAUCACUAAUGGCUUCAACACAGGGAUCGUCGCCUACGACCAACAGGAAAGUAAUCACCAUACUUAGCAUUGAUGGAGGAGGGUUCCGAGGCAUUAUCCCUGCAGUCAUCCUAUCCGCCCUUGAGGCCGAACUUCAGGUUUUCUCUUACCAUAUCCUUUUGUCAUUUCACAUUCUUAUUUUUUUCAAAAUUGUAGUGCUGAAAAUUACCAUCAGCUACUGGCAGAAGGCGUACUUGCUAAAGCCAAAAGGGGUAUAUACAUAUACAUGCAUGAUUUGAUUGGCAGGAUAUGAUAUGUCACCGGUCUCUUAUCUCUUAUCUCUUAUCGCAUCCCGUAUUGUAUGUAACACACCAAAAAGAUUAGUAAUGGUGCAUAUCUUGGAGAGUUGAGGUGAAUUGACAAGGGAAAAAACAAUUUUGUGAUUUUUGUUAUAUGCUGUUGCAAACAGAGACUUGAUGGCCCUGAUGCCAGGAUUGCAGAUUACUUUGAUCUCAUUGCGGGCACAAGCACAGGGUCAAUUGUUACAGCCUUUCUUACAACCCCAUAUCCACUUCCUAGUGCUUCAAAUGGAUCCACAACAAAUCGUCCUUGCGAAGCAAAAGAUAUCCAGCAGUUCUACAUUGAGCAUGGCCCGGAAAUAUUUGCAAAGGAAGAAGACCCUGUUCAAACCAGGUACAUUGAGACUGUGUGAAUGGGAGAGAAAAAAGCAAGAAGAGCGUAAUAUUUUAAUCCAAAUUAAUUUCCUUGUGGUUGACAGUAAAUCAGAAAGCUUCCUCGAUGGGUUGAAACAUUUGAUUGUUCAAGGGGUGGAGAAGGUGCUGGAAUACAAAUAUCGUCCAUCCCGUCUUAGUGAGAAAGUGGAUGAACAGCUUGGGAAAAUUCGGUUGGCUGACACACUAACCAAUGUUCUUGUUCCUGCUUAUGAUAUUCAACACCUAAAACUAGUCACCUUCUCUUCUCACCAGGUCAUCAAUUUUUUUACAUGAUCAAGCAUUAGUAUUCAUUCUUCUCAUAUUUGUAUUUUCCAUAGCAUAAGACUCUGGGCCUAUAAUGCCGGCUUUAAAAGCCUUCUACAUGAUCAGCUCAUGCAAACAUGACGUCUUAGUUGUGUCCUAUAGGUUUCCAUAGCAUAAGACUACAGGCUUAUAAUGUUGGCUUUAAAAUCCAUCCUCGUAUAGGCAUAACAUUCUCAUCAUGUUUCAUAGGAUUGCAAGACCAAGCUGACAAACAUGGGGUUGUGGAUCGACUUUGAUAUCAUUUGUAAUAACUGCCUUUCAAUCAUAUAGAUAUUGUGUCUUUUAGGCCAAGGGGUCUUAUGGCUUUAAACACAUUUAUAUAAUUGAAAGGAGCUUGUGUAUAUAUAUAAUAUUAUAAUUUUUUUUUCCUUAUCUGAUAUGGGACAUGACAUAUGAUGCAUGUUGCAUUUAUGGUUGCAGGCAAGAAAGGCAGACUCAUCAGUAAAAUUGAGAGAUGUAGUUAUGAGCUCAGCUGCAGCUCCAGUUUUUUUCCCAUCUCAUAAUUUCGAAGCCGAUGGCAGAAUGUACAACCUUGUGGAUGGUGGAGUCGCAGCCAACAAUCCUGUAAAUCCUCUUCAUACACAGGCCUUUAAGGGAUCAUAUUUUCAAGAUUUGUUGCCAUUUGUAUACACGAUUCAUUCAUCAUACUUGAUGAAGCUGUCCCCUCUGUGCAGACAUUGCUUGCAAUACAAGAAGCAGACCAUAUAUUUGGAAACCGAGAUUAUAAUUAUCUGAUUCUUUCCCUGGGCACUUGCUCUGAAGAAGAACACCAGAACUUCAUUGAUUUAACGGGUCCACUUCCUUGGAUGAUAGACCUUAAGAGAGGAACACCACCAUUGGCCAACGUGCUGUUCAAGACAUCAGCCGACAUGGUAGAUGCAUACACAUUAUUUGUCCUUGGAGUUGGAGGCCGGAUUUCUAGUCAGAACUUUCUCCGGAUCCAGGUAAUUAAAUGCACUUACAUGAAAUAGUUGAGCAAUCCAAACAAGUUCCCAUUAAAACUGAUCAAAGAUCAAAGAUAUAGGAGUGAAUAUUAUCAGAUUGAUCUCAAUUUUUACAUUACUAAGGAAAAGAAAAUUUGAACCAGGACAAUACAUUGAAGCCUGAGCAGCUCACAAUGGAUGAUGCAAGUAAAAAAAACUUCGAAAGCCUGAUUGAUAUCGCUCAAAGACUUCUAGAGAAGCCUGUUUCUUUCCCUAGCUUGGUGAUUGGUCUGCAACCAAUGACUACCAACAGAAAAGCUCUCAUGAGGUAAUGAGCUAACAGGAAUGGUGAUUUAGAGCAAACAGUGUUUCUAGCUUUUCUAACAUUUGAAAACAAUUCUUUUGAUAAAAAUUUUCAAAUGUUAGAAAGGUUAGAAGUAUUUCCUAUAAUCACCAUCAAAUCAAUUCUUAUAAUUGGUUUACGAGUCAUUGUUCACCUUGCUGCCAUCCUCAUAUCAUCCCCCAUUUUUACUAGAUAAUGAUUAUUAUUUCUCCCUUGCAGCUUUGCUAGAUUAUUGUCUGAAGAAAAGAAGAGGAGGGGUGGUUCUUUGUUCCACGUCUCUGGCUUCUUAAUGUGUUCAAUUAUUUCUUCUCUUUUUCUCCUUUUUCUUUACAAGCUUUAUAUGGUGUUUUACCAAUAAAUAAAAAAAGAAAAAUUCUUUGAAUUUGAUGUCUGGGAAUAUGGUUAUUGCUUGUCCCUAUUAGAAAUAAGGAAUGUACAUUCUGUUAAAAUCUGGAGAAAAAUAAGGAACUAAAACUUGCAGAAAAUAUUAGAGUAUUGAGUUGGAGAAAGGCACACAAUAUUUCACCAAUGAGAAUGCCUAUUUAUAGGCUUACAACCAAACUGAAAAUGCUAAAAACUCUCAACUGCUAUGACUACUUCUACUAACAGAAAAACUGAAAAUUAUGGAGCAUAACAGAGACUGAGUCUAACUAAGACAUUUUCAAAGGCAAACUCUCAUGAAUUCUAACACUCCUCCUUGAGAUUUGCCUUGGACAUACCAAGCUUCAACCUUAGGAACUCCAGCCUUGAUUUAGGAAGUCCUUUAGUCAUUAUGUCAGCAAGUUGCUCAUCAGUUGAGCAAUAAUGCAACUUAACAAGUGAAUUCUUUUCAGCUUCCCUUAUGGAGUGGAAUUUUACAUUUAUGUGCUUGGUUCUGCCAUGUUGGACAGGAUUUUGAGUAAUGGAAAUGGCUGACUUAUUGUCACAGUAAAGCUUAGUUGGUGAGCUUUGUUCCUGGCCUAAAUCAACAAGCAAUUUUCUCAACCAUAUUGCUUGAUUUGCAGCAGCUGCUAAGGAGAUAUACUCAACUUCUGUAGUUGAUUGUGCCACUACUUCUUGCUUUCUUGAAUUCCAGCAUAUGACACCUAAACCGAUUGUAAAUACAUAACCUGAAGUGCUCUUCAUAUCAUCAACACUUCCUGCCCAAUCACUAUCAGCAUAACCAUCUAGCUUAACUCCUCCUGUCUUUAAAUACCAAAUGCCAAGAUUUGUUGUACCUUUAACAUACUUUAGCACCUUCUUUGCAACUCCCAUGUGAACAUUUCUAGGUGAACUCAAGAACCUUGAAAGCAAACUAGCUGGAAACAUCAAGUCAGGUCUAGUUACUGUCAAGUAUAGUAGGCUGCCCACCAAGCUUCUAUAUGUAGAGGGUUUCUCAAGUUUCUCACCAUCAUUCUUUGAAAUUUUCUCAUUUUGUGCUAGCGGAGUUGCUACUUCUUUGCAUGAUUCUAGCUUGAAUUUCUUGAGAAUAUCCAUAGCAUAUUUUCUUUGUGAAAUGAAGAUACCCCAACUGCAUUGGUAUAUUUCCAUUCCAAGGAAUUAGUUCAUGAUGCCAAGGUCAGACAUCUCAAAUACAUCCUGCAUUUCCAUUUUGAAAUCAGCUAGCAAUUUUACAUUGCUUCCAGUCACUAGCAUGUCAUCAACAUAAAGUGAUACUACCAGUUGCAAACCAUCAUCAUUUUGUUUCAAAUACAACGUAGCUUCAUUUUCACUCCUCCUAAAUCCAAGUUGGAUCAGAUGAGAAUCAAUUCUGCUAUACCAGGCCCUUGGUGCUUGCUUCAAACCAUAGAGAGCCUUAUGUAGCUUGUACACUUUAUGUUCAUGGCCAAUAACCUCAAAGCCUUUUGGUUGUUGAACAUAAAUUUCUUCAAGAAGUAUACCAUUUAGAAAAGCUGACUUGACAUCUAAAUGGUACACUUUCCAUCCCAUUUUACCAGCAAGUGCAAGUAGUAGCCUUAUAGUGUCAUGUCUGGCUACUGGUGCAAAUGUAUCACCAUAGUCCACUCCAGCAAUUUGAGCAAAACCCUUCACAACCAAUCUAGCCUUAUGCCUGAAGAUUGAACCAUCUGAAUUAAAUUUGGUUCUGAAAACCCAUUUUACACCAAUUGCAUUCUUAGCUUCAGGUAGUUCUGUCAACUUCCAGGUUCCAUUUCUUUCAAUAGCAUCAAUUUCAGCUUUCAUGGCCUCAAUCCAUUAUAGAAAUCUUGCAGCUUCCGUGUAACAUGUAGGCUCAGCAUGUACAAGAUUGCACCUCUCAUACACAUCAGAUAAUGGCCUCAUCUUAAGCACGGGUGUGUCUGAAGUUGCUUCAACAUCAAGUGGACCUUCAAUGAUUGUACUUUCUAUUGCUGGUUCAAGAAUAGAUGGAGUGGUUUGAUCACAUUUAUGAACUUUCUUCAAGUCCCAAUUCCAGUAGGAGUUUUCAUCAAAGUGCAUAUCUCUACUUAUCACGAUUUUCGUUAUACUCAAGCUAUAAAUUCUGUAACCUUUUGAUUCAGCUGCAUACCCAACAAAAACACCUUUCUCAGCUCUUUCAUCAAGCUUCCCUCUCUUGACAGAUGGCACAUGAAGAUAACAAAAUGAGCCAAAAACUUUCAGGUGCUUGACAGAAGGUUUUACACCAGACCAUGCCUCUAUUGGUGUUUUGCUCUAAACAAACUUAGUUGGUAGUCUGUUAAGCAAAUAUACUGAGGUGUUGACUGCUUCAGCCCAUAGAAGUUUUGGUAGCUUCUUCUCGAAUAGCAUGCACCUUGCCAUUUCCAUCAUGGUUAUGUUCUUCCUCUCAGAGACUCCAUUCUGCUGUGGUGAGUAUGGAGCUGUUAGCUGGUGUACAAUUCCAGCUUCUUGACAAAAGACAUUGAACUCUUUUGAGAUAUACUCACCUCCAUUAUCAGUUUUGAGCACCUUACCGUUCUGGCCACUUUGAGUUUCAACCAUUUUCUUGAAGCUUUUGAACACAGAGAACACUUGUGACUUGGUUUUUAGAAAAUAAACCCAAGUCAUUCUACUGAGAUCAUCAAUAAAUAAUGCAAAAUACACAUUAUUGCUCAAUGAGGUUGUGCUCAUUGGUCCACAAAUAUCUGAAUGAAUUAAUUCUAGCUUGUGAGUAGCUCUCUUGGACAUAUUUUGAGGGAAUGGUUGUCGUUGUUGCUUCCCUAGCUCACAACUUUCACAAGUUUGAGCAUUAACUGAGAUUUCAGGCAUGUCUUCAACCAUACCAGCUUCUUGCAUUAACCUCAGUGACUUCAAGUUGAAAUGACCAUAUCUUUUGUGCCAAACAACACUCUCAUCAAUCUUAGCACUAAAGACAUGACCUUCAACUAAAUCAAGCUUCAAAUAAAAGCUAUUUCCAUUCAUUUUAAUUUUUGCUAUCUCUUUUCCGUGUACAUUAGUGAUCAAACAAAAAUUUUCUUUGAAAGAGACUGCAUAUCCAUUUCUUAGCAUUUGUGCAACACUAAGAAGAUUCUGAUCUAAAUCUGGAAUGUAAAGAACAUUAGUGACAAUUUUUGUACCUCUCUUGGUGCUGAUAGAAAUUGUCCCUUUUCCUUUGGCCUGCACAACUUCACCAUUUCCCAACUUGACCUUUGGUUGAACUGAUCUAUCAAUGGAGGUAAAUAUUGACAAAUAUUUGGUCAUGUGACUCGUGCAGCCACUGUCAAUGAGCCAAGUAUUCAGUUCAUGAGAACUGAGUGCUUGUGAUGCCAUAAAUAAAUGCUCAUCAUCAUUUUUGUCUUCUUCAGUCACACUUGCAUUUUGUUCUAGUUGUUGUUGAGAUUGUUUUUUCUUGGCUCUGCAAUACUUCUCACUGUGGCCAAGUUUAUUGCAGAAAUUACAAUUAAAGAGAGGUUUACCUUUGUGCCAACAAUCUUUCUCAGCAUGGUUGGUUCUUCUACAAUGAGAGCAAGACGAAAAUUUUCCUUUUCUUGAAGACCCUUCACCUUUCCUUUUGUUGUUCUUGAAGAACUUCUUUCUUUGCAAGUUUCUAGAAUUCUUUCCCUUGUGAUUUGCUUGAAAAGCACCUUCAGUAGCUUCAUCACCUCUCAUUAAGACCCUUUGCUCCUGUGCAUGAAGCUUGCUGGUUAACUUUACAAUUGUGAGAGUUCGCAAGUCACAAGACUCUUCAAUUGCAGAAAUCUUGGCUUCAAACUUUUGAGGCACUGAAACCACAAUCUUUUCUACCACCUUUUGAUUUGUAAAUGCCUCACCAAGAAGCCGCAUUUGGUUUACAACAUCCAUUAACCUUCCAGAAUAAUCUUUGACAGAUUCGUCGUCUUUCAUCUUCAUCAACUCAAACUCUCUCUUCAAUGUGAGGAGUCUAACAGUUUUGACUCUUUCACUGCCCUCAAAUUCACCUUGGAGCUUGUCCCAUACCAGUUUAGGUGUUUCCAAGUUCAUGAUUUUGGUGAAGAUGUGGUCUGCAAGUCCUGAAUGUAGGCAGGUGAUGGCUUUGUCUUUCUUAAGUUUUUCUUCCUCAUAUGCUUUCAUCUGAGCAACUGUAGGAUUUGCUCCCAAUGGUGGUGGAUCAGCUUCAGACAUCACAACAUUCCACAAACCUUGAGACCUUAAAUAAAACCUCAUCUUGACAGCCCAAAUGUGAUAGUGUUCACUAUUAAACACUGGAAUUAUAGAGGAAGUAUUGCUAGAAGGAGACAUGUUUGCACCACAGUUGCUUAAAAAAAAAAAAGAUCACUCAACCUCACUAGUGUUUGCACUCAACCUCACUGUGUUUAAUACUAAAAAAAAAUUUGCCUCACAGCCCGUAGGAAUAAUGCUUUGAUACCACUGUUAAAAUCUGGAGAAAAAUAAGGAACUAAAACUUGCAGAAAAUAUUAGAGUAUUGAGUUGGAGAAAGGCACACAAUAUUUCACCAAUGAGAAUGCCUAUUUAUAGGCUUACAACCAAACUGAAAAUGCUAAAAACUCUCAGCUGCUAUGACUACUUCUACUAAUAGAAAAACUGAAAAUUAUGGAGCAAAACAGAGACUGAGUCUAACUAAGACAUUUUCAAAGGCAAACUCUCAUGAAUUCUAACACAUUCCAUGUCUUAAUGAAUAAUUCUCUUUCAGAUGGAGCUAUUUAUCAAAAGAAAAAAAUCUCUUUUAGAUGGAGCUAGUUUUUGCAACAACACUAUAAAUCUUGACAUCAUGUAUUCAAUAUAAAAGAUGUAUUAUAACAUGGAGUAAGGAUGACAAUUUGUGUUAGUGGUCAUAUUUAUGUCAUGUCAAAGCUUAGACAGAUGUUAAAUAAGUCAUUUCAAGCACAACACGAAUAAUUAUUAUAUUAAAAAUAUAAACUCAUAUAUUCUAUAUAAUUAUUAAACAGAUAACAUUUUAGUAACUCAUUUAAUAACCAAAUUAAUUUAAAUUUCAUGAAUCUAUAUGAUUAGUGUUCAAAUUAGAUAUGCUUAUAAUUCAAUUGAUUUAUUUAUUUAAAUCAAAUUUAAAAUGAGUAAAAUAUGGUUAAAUAGUUUAAAAUUGUAAUUAGAUUAAUCAAUAUGAUUAUUAGAGGGACUAAUUCCAUCAAAUUUCGUAUUAUGUGGGUUGAUCCAAAAGUUACCUAUUAUUUCUUAUAUAGAUUAUGUGGGCAUUCGAAAUUUGAUCCCAAUAUGACUACACUCAUCCUAAACCCACAAAAAAUGCAUUGGGUUCUAAUUAAGGCUGCUGCAGUUGCUUAUUCGGAUGGUCUGUAUAGAAAAGCCCAUGCUGCUCAGGAUAGGCUGAUCCUUCUAAAGUAUUUCACAUCAGGACAGGAUGAUGCGCAGCUCCAAUGCAGUAGGCAAGUGCAGGAGCCAUUUUUGGAUGAUCCAAACCCCUGCAACCUUACGAAGAGGACUCAAAAAAUCCUAUAAACCCCCCAACAUCCAGGAUGCCAAAAAUCUUGCUAUUGCUCCCCUAAAUCUAGGCCACCCUGUUUUAUCCUUACUAUCAAAAUGCCAAACCAUGGCCCAUUUCAAUCAAAUACAUUGCCUAAUGAUCACCACUGGCAUGUCCCGUGAUGCUUUUCCGGCUAGCAGAUUACUUAUAGCUAGUUCAUUCUCUUUGAGUCCUCCAAACAUUCACCUGGCUUAUGUUGUAUUUUCGCAAAUGCAAAGCCCUGAUGUAUACUCAUACAACAUUAUGAUUAAGGCCUUUUCACAAACUUCACAUCCACUUGAUUCCCUCCACUUUUACCACAAGCUGCUCCACCAAGGCCUAUACCCCAAUGAGUACACUUUCUGUUUUGUGCUCACUUCAUGUGCCCAAGCCUUGGCUCUCCAAGAGGGCAAACAAAUACAAGCCCAGUUAAUCAAACACCUGUCUUUGGGCACUGUCUAUGCUAGCACCUCUCUUGUUCGCUUGUAUGGCAAAUGUGGUGACAUCCGUAGGGUAGAGCUUUACAAGCAUUCGGGGAAAUGUCUCACAGAACCGAGGUCUCAUGGGGCGCAGUAAUUGAUGCUUAUAUUGAUCAAGGUUUUUUGACGGAUGCAUUGCAAUUGUAUGCAAAGAUGAGGAGUUUGGGACAUUCAGCAAGCAAUGCAAUCUUGGUGGGGGCAUUUGGUGCUUGUGCUAAGCUGCAGGACUUGGCACUGGGGAGGAUUAUUCCUGGGCAAGUUGAGGCCAUGGGGCUACAACUCAAUGUGACCCUUGGAACAAGUCUGGUUGACAUGUACUCAAAAUGUGGAGCUAUCGAAAUGGCCAUGGAGGUAUUCUCUAGGAUGCCUGUGAAAAGUGUUGCAUCAUGGAAUUGCAUGAUCAACGGUCUGGCAAUGAAUGGUGGGGGAAGCGCAGCAAUUGGCUUGUUUAAGGAGAUGCAGGCGUCUGGUUUGGGACCCAACAGUGCAACCUUUGUGGGUGUCCUGCAUGCAUGCAGUCAUGGAGGGCUAGUGAAUGAAGCACUCGAAUUCUUUUCGUGUAUGAGUGAGUUGUACGGGAUUGAAACUAAUGUUAAGCAUUAUGGGUGCAUGGUUGAUCUCUAUGGCCGAGCUGGGAAGCUUGAGAAGGCCGUGGAUGUCAUCAGAACGAUGCCCAUGAAACCGGAUAUUGUAAUAUGGGGAGCAUUGUUAGGUGGGUGCAAGGAGCAUGGCAACGCAAAGCUUGGGGAGCUGGUAGGAGCACAGAUUAUGAAGCUACAACCACAUAAGGUUUCCGGGUGCUCGAGUCUUUCGGAUAUGUAUGCGAUGGAUGGGCGAUUGGAGGACGUGAUCAGUGUAAGGAGGAUGAUGCUGGACAUGUAUGUUGGGAGGGAACCUGGAUGUAGCACCUUGACUUAAUUUUUAGUUAUCUGGAGAUAAUAAAUCCUUGGCAGAAUUACUUACCAAUCCCUCUCUUGAGAGAAUUCCAAGAAAAACUGCAGCACAAAUAGGAAUAGGGAAAUGGUCUCAGGUUUUAAAACACCUGCCAACCAAAAGUAGUUUUAAUUCUGAAACAUGGUUGAGAGGUACCGGAAAUUUGUAACUUGAAAUUUUCUGGGAAAUAGUGGCUUCAAUUCUCAUAGACUGUAUUUACAUCAGAGAUGCCAUAAGUUCGGUUCAUAUUAGCCUGCAAAUCCAACCUAGCAAACAAAAAACUACUUCAACUCCUCCAAGCCUAGAAUCCAACUCCCCUGCCCGGGGCAUCUUAAGAGGAUACAGUACUGUCAUCAUAUUUGUAGGGACUCUGUACAACAAAUUAGUUUAUCAUACUGAAGGCAAGAAUUGACAUUUUUCUUUUCCUAUUUUUGACUUCAUGCCCCCCUGGACCCAUAGAUCAGAUUACAGCUGAUAUGGAAAUUCAUGGAUCUGGCUUUCAAUUCUGAUUCCCAGAGCUCAAAACUUGCUUUCAAGUCAAGCCCAACAUACAGGUGUUGGCUGGACAUAAAGGUACCCCUGAGGAAAGAUAAAAGAAAAAGGAAGAAGAUGCUUUAAUCUAUUGAAUACUCAGACGUCAGCAGAAAGGAGUAAGUUAAAGACUGUAAAUUCUAGCUUCAGAAAUACACAUGAUUUUGAUGAAUAAAAAAUGACAAUUUGCCAAUCAUGAGCAGUUUUUGUCAGGCAACAUUAAUUUCACCUUGACCUCAAUUUAUCAAUCUGAAGCCUUUAAUUUUCUGGGUCUUUUAGACUGAGCCGGUGAUGGUGGAGCAGGUGCCUUGAGAACCAGGACUACAAAUAAAAACAAUAUUACAAUUCAGGCAAGAGGGUGAAACAAGGAAGACAUAUAAAAAUGAUUAAAGGUAAACAAAACAGAAAAAAACUGAUACUUACCUUGCGUUUCUGGUCCCUUUUGCCAACUCUUUCACCUAAAAUCCAAUCAUAUUAUUAAAUAGUUGCAGAAAAGUUCAUUGAUUUUAUCUAAAAAUAAAAACCUAUAAAAAGGAAAAAUACUAUGCUAUAUAAAGAAAACUCAAAAACACCCAUUAUCACAUAAUAUAUCACCUCCAAAACUUAUGGAGUCAGGAAUAAAUGUCCGAUCCUGUUCCCCAGUGCGGUGGGAUCGCUGUCAAUAGUUUCAUAGACCAAAUCAAACCAAAAUUUUAGAUUCAAAAGAUGCAGACAUAUAUAUUUGCAAUAAACUCAUUCUUUGAAUGACAAACUAGCAUGUGUAGCUCCAUAAUUAGAAGGGAAAAAAUCAGUACACUCACCUUAGGUGUGCCUGGUGUUUCAGCAUAUGAACCAUCACGAUGCGAAGAACCUUCUGCUUCCUUGUAUUGCAACUGAUCAUCAAACACAUAGAGGUUAAACAUCUACACUAUCUAUUCAGUGCAGAACCCUGUGUGUCCCACUCUUACAAAUCAUACGAAGCAUUCCCUUAAGACCUUUUUCUUUAAUAAUAGAAACAGAUUAUAGCUAUACUUCCAUUGUCUCUGUUGAAUAUGACUAUGGCAUAUGAAUGUCAUGUCCUAAUAAACCUCUUUUAAGACCUGUUAUUUUAACUGCUAAACCUAUUGCUGAUAAAUCACAAUUCUCAUGCCUCUCCUUCCUAACCAAUUAUAUACUCCAGGUUCCAAUAUUGAAUUUGGAAAGAAGGGAUCCUGAGGAGAAAUGAAAGCAAUUGAAUGAACAUUAUUAAUUCCAAUUUUUGAAACCGAUAGGACCUGUAAAUGGAAAAGGAUUUCAAAUCAUGUGGUAGCCUCUUAUGAAAGUGCUGAAUUCCAUAUAGAAAAGGCUGAAUCUGAUUUAAAAUUCAUUAAAAUAGAAGAUAAGAUACAAUUUCUGGUUUUUUGAAAUCAUCCUUAUUAUUCUCUGUUCUUUGCAACUUGUUAUGUGUUUCUUCCCUUAUUCCAUCAUUAUUACCAUUGUUCUUCUCUUGGUCCACCUUUAUCAUCAUUGGUCACUUGGAUUAAGAUUUUUAGAUUUUUUACAUAUUUGAAAUCUCCAUAAAAUCAAAUGAGCUUGAUGAUCCUUUUUCUUUUCAGGUUUAGAAUAUUUUCUCUCUUAUAAACCUCUAAACCUAGAUGCAUAUGUGAUUUGUUAAUUUUUAAAUAUUUAACUAGAUUCUUAUUUAGAUAAGAAAGGAAGAUAGUUCCAUGGAAAUGUAUUAUAUCUUUUUUAUUUUUUUAAUGAGUCAAAUUAUUCUUUAAGUAGUUUAGGUUUAUUUGAUUUUGCAGGAUUUGAACCUUUUGUGGUGAAUCAGUCAUCCAUUAUUUAUAAAUCUAGGAUAAUAAAUAAAUUCAUACAUUGCAUUUAAAAUAAUACAUUUUUUCUUAUGAUUUUAGAAGUUCUACAAUGGUGUGUGUGUGUGCGUAUACACACAAAAAUCGGUUUCUUUUCCAUUGCGUACACACACAAUGGAAAUAUAUGCUAAGAAAGAAGACCCUGUUGAAACAAGGUACACUGGAACUGUGUGAAAGGGAGAGAAAAAGCAAGAAGAGCGGAAGAUCUUACUCCAAAUUAAUUUCAUUGUGGCUAACAGCAAAUCAGAUAGCUUGCUCGCUCGGUUGACAGAAUUGAUUGUUUCCGGGGCGGAGAUGGUGUUGAACUUUCUCCUAAACUACAGAUAUGGUCCUUCCCGUCUUAGUGAGAAAGUGGAUGAACAGCUGGGGGAAAUUCGGUUGGUUGACACACUAUCUAAUAUUCUUGUCCCUGCUUUUGAUAUUCAACACCUUAAACUAGUCGCCUUCUCUUCUCACCAGGUCAUCAAUUUUUUACAUGAUCAAACAUUAGUAUUCAUUCUUCUCAUAUUUGUAUUUUUCAUAGCAUAAGACUUCGAGCCUAUAAUGUUGGUUUUAAAAUCCACCAUCGUGCAAACAUAAUGUCCUGGUUAUGUUUCAAAGGAUUGCAAGGUCAAAUAAACAAAGACAAGGUUGGUGAUCAACUUUAAUAUCAUUUGUAAUAACUCUUGUUCCCAAUCGUGUGGAUAUUGUUCUUUCUAGGCCAAAGGGUCUCACAGCUUCAAAACACAUCAAGAUGAUUAAGAGGAGCUCAUAUAUAGAUAUAGCGUUAAGAACUUUCUUCCUUUCCAUUGUGGGAGGAUAUCACAUAUGAUGCAGGUAAUUGCAUUUAUGGUUGCAGGUAAGAAAGGCAAACUCAUCAAUAAAAUUGAGAGAUGUAGUUAUGAGCUCAGCUGCAGCUCCAGUUUAUUUCCCAUCGCAUAAUUUCAAAGCUGAUGGCAGACUGUACAACCUUGUGGAUGGUGGACUUGCAGCCUACAAUCCUGUAAAUCUUUUUCAUGCACAGGCCUUUAUGGGAUCAUAUUUUAAAGAUUUGUUGCCAUUUGUAUGCACAAUUCAUUCAUUAUGCUUGAUGAAGCUAUCCCUUCUGCGCAGACAUUGCUUGCAAUACAAGAAGCAGCCCACAUAUUUGGAAACCGAGAUUAUAAUAACUGUCUGGUUGUCUCCCUUGGUACUUGCUCUGAAGAAGAAGAACAUCACAACUUCAUUAAUUUAAAGGGUCAACUUCCUUGGAUAAUAGACCUGAAAAGAGGAACAUCACCUUUAGCCAACGCGCGGCUUAAGACCAGCUGACAUGCUAGAUGCAUACACAUUAUUUGUCCUUGGAGUUGGAGGCUGGAUUUCUAGUCAGAAAUUUCUCGGAAUCUAGGUAAUUAAAUGCACUUACAUAAAAUACUGAGCAAUCCAAACAAGUUCCCAUCAAAACUGAAAGAUCAAGAUAUAGGAGCGAAUUCUAUCAGAUUGAUCUCAAUGUUUACAUUACUAAGGAAAAGAAAAUUUGAACAAAGACAAUACAUUGAAGCCUGAGCAGCUCAAAAUGUAUGAUGCAAGUAAGGAAAACUUCAAUAGCAAGAUUGAUACCGCUCAAAGACUUCUAGAGAAGCUUGUUUCACUCCCAAGCUCGGUGAUUGGUCUGCAGCCAAUGAAUACCAACCAAGAUGCUCUCAUGAGGUAAUGAGCUAAUAAGAAAGGUGAUUGAAAGCUUGUAUAGUAAUGAUUUUAAAAAGCGUUUCUAAUUUUUUUUAAUAUUUAAAAAUAUUUCUUUGAAUAAAAAUUUUCUUAAUUGUUCAAAAUUUUUCCUAAAAUCAUUAUUAAAUAAAUUCUUACAAUUUGAUAUCAAUGGAUAUUUAUGAGUCAUUAUUCACUUUGCUACCAUUCUCACAUUAUCAGCCAUUUUAACUAGAUAUUGGUUGUGAUUUCUCCCUUCAGCUUUGGUGGAGUCCUAUGGAUGAAAAGAAGAGGGGUACGUCUCCAUCCUAUGUCUUUGACUUCUUAAUGUAUUCAAUCAUUUGUUCUUUUUUUCUCCUUUUUCUUUACAAGCUUUAUAUUGUGUUUUACCAGUAAAAGAAGGAAAAAAAAACACUUAGAAUUUGACGUUUGAGGAUAUGGCUAUUGCUAGUUCUCAACCAUGAGAAAUAAUGGAUGUACAUUACACAUCUUAAUGAAUAAUUGUCUUUCGGAUAGAGCUAUUCUUCACAAUAGCACUGCAAAUCUUGACAUCAUGUAUUCGGGAUAAAAGAUGUAUUAUGACAUGGGAUAUGGGUGGCAAUUUGUGUUGAUAGUUGUAUUAAUGUCUUGUCAAAACUUAGACAUAUACCAAAUAAGUCAUUUCCAAUAUGACAUAAAUAAUAAUUACAUUAAAAAUAUAAAUUUACAUACUAUAUAAUUAUUAAACAGAUAAUAUAUCGUAUAACCCAUUUAAUUCAUUUACUAAUCGGGUUGACUUAAAUUUUAUACAAGUCUAUAUGACUAAUGUUUCAACCACAUAUGUUUAUGAUUUAAUUGAUUUAUUUAUUUAAAACAAAUUUAAAAUGAGUAAAAUAUGGUUACAUAGUUUAAAUUUGUAAUAAAUGGAUUGAUUUUAUCAAAUUCAUGUUAUGUAAGUUAAUUGAAAAGUGAUUUAUUUAUUAAAUAGAUUAUGUGGGUCAAUCAAAAUUUGACCCAAAUAUGAUCACACUUAAUCUAAAUCCAUAUAAAACAUGUUGGGUUUUACAACGAAUUAUAUCAAACUUUAUCACCCUUAACAGGUGACCACCUGACCCUAAAUAAAUGAAUGUAACUAAGGCCAUUGCAGUUGCUAAUUCAGAUGGUAUAUAUGGAAAAGCCCAUGCUGCUCAGGAUAGGCUGAUCCUUCUAAACUAUUUCACAUCAGGACAAGAUGAUGCACAGCUCCAAUGCAAUAGACAAGUGCAGAAGCCAUUUUUGGAUGAUCCAAACCCCUGCAACCUUAGGAAAAGGACUCAAAAAAUCCUAUAAAUCCCCCAACGUCCAGGAUGCCAAAAAUCUUGCUAUUGCUGCCCUAAAUCUAGACUACCCUGUUUUGUUCCUACUAUCAAAAUGCCAAACCAUGGCCCAUUUCAACUAAAUAAAUUGCCUAAUGAUCAUCACUGGCAUGUCCAGUGAUGCUUUUCUGGCUAGCAGAUUACUUAUAGCUAGUUCAUUCUCUUUGAGUCCUCCAAACAUUCACUUGGCAUAUGUUGUAUUUUCAUAAAUACAAAGCCCUGAUGUGUACUUAUACAACAUUAUGAUUAAGGCCUUUUCACAAAGUUCACAUCCACAUGAUUCCCUCCACUUUUACCACAAGCUGCUCCACCAAGGCCUAUACCCUAAUGAGUACACUUUCUGUUUUGUGCUCACUUCAUGUGCCCAAGCCUCGUCUUUCCAAGAGGGCAAACAAAUACAUGCCCAAUUCAUCAAACACCUAUCUUUGGGCAGUGUCUAUGCUAGUACCUCUCUUGUUUGCAUGUAUGGCAACACAAAAUAGCAAGUGAUGGUCCAAGUGACUAACCCCUGCAUACAACAUAAAUUAUCAAGUUUCCUUAGAAGAAUAAUGCAAUGUUUUCACAUAUAUUGCUGAAGCACCUGCCCAAAGAUAUUGAUGUUUGCUUAGAGAUAGUACCAAAGGUGAAAUAACCUGAAUAUGCACAUUAGAAAGAUCAAUCAACACCUGUAGUGUUCAAGUGACCAUUCUCACAUUGAGCGUAAUGAAUAUGCCCUUACUUCAUAAUGGGAAUCUCAGCCAGUGGGCACCCAAGGCCUACAAUGAAGGCUAGGGCAAACCCCUGCCUGGUCCUAUCCAGAAAAAACCAUAUAAACUCAGCCACUGAAAAUAAUAUGUAGGCCUCAAUGUUGUCUGCCACUCCAAGCUUUGUACAUUUCAGCUAAAUAGCAUCAGUGCUCUCGUUUAAACCAGUAUACAGAUGUUAGAAAUCAAAUACAAUCUUGCUUAUAAAAUUGGAAAAGAAAAAGGAAAUUAAGCCAAUUUCUCAGCAUCUGAAGUGAGUUGUUUUUUAAGUGAAUUUGUCUCCUGAUUCCUGGUUGAGAUGAUUGAGAAACAGAACCAGAACUCACAUCAGUGAAAAAGCUGUUUUCUCUAGGCUUCCCUCUGGAGCCCUGGAAGAGAACUUCUCAUUCAGGAAGAGUUGCAGCAACCUAACAGUAUAAUGUAACAAUCCAAGCAAGGGAGGAACCUACCAACAUCAACAACCGAAUGGAAAUUAAAAAAAUAAAUAAAAUUGCUCAACCACACUGUGUAGUCCUUUAAAAGAAGCUGCACCUAACAUUUCUCUUAAGAAAAAUCAGUGAACAACAGUAACAAGCAUCAUUCAUGAAGCUGAUGAGCAGGUUCCAAGAAAUUCAAUUUAUCCAAAUAUUUAUGUGAAUCGGACUGAUGUUGAUGGACCCAUUUUGGUAUACCACAAGAUUUACCCUUGAAUGAAUUCCAUCAAUGAGGGUACCCAAGAAGAAACCUGAACCAAAGAGUGAGAGAGAUGGUUGGCUAGGCCUCUGUGAGACUAGUUUUGCUCUGUUUUCCCAGAGUGCAAUAAGGUCCAGAAUCUAAAUAUUUGAAAUUGGAUUUCCUAUGCUUUUUCUGGCUACAAGGAGAUCUAAACAUAGAUUGUUUAGAAUUGUAAAGGUUUGGGGAAUUGGGGGGAAAGCUGCUAGAGGAGCACAAAGCAGUGAGGCUUUGCUUGUUUCCCCUCACAUUUGGAAGUUCAAACUAUUUCAUAUUCUUGGGAAUAAUUUGGGUUGAAGACUCUGUCG